AACGCACAUUGCGCCCCUUGGUAUUCCGAGGGGCACGCCUGUUCGAGCGUCAUUACACCACUCAAGCCUCGCUUGGUAUUGGGCGCCGCGCCCGUUCGCGCGCCUCAAUGUCUCCGGCUGAGUCGUUCGUCUCUAAGCGUUGUGGCACUUUAUGUUUCCGCUUUGGGGAUACGGACGAUUCGCGCCGUUAAACACAUUUCAAAGGUUGACCUCGGAUCAGGUAGGGAUACCCGCUGAACUUAA
RNAcentral lists this unclassified non-coding RNA (243 nucleotides) under uncultured fungus. Its description in RNAcentral is "partial contains 5.8S ribosomal RNA, internal transcribed spacer 2, and large subunit ribosomal RNA". The stretch from base 1 to 52 matches the Rfam family "5.8S ribosomal RNA", at positions 103 to 154 of the family's 154-position model. The record is from RNAcentral. Lineage: Eukaryota; Fungi.